Phacochoerus africanus (Common warthog) is the source of this 457-nucleotide long non-coding RNA. RefSeq lists it as uncharacterized. Lineage: Eukaryota; Metazoa; Chordata; Mammalia; Artiodactyla; Suidae. The transcript is spliced from 3 exons. The record is from RefSeq and is a predicted model, not a curated record.
CCUGCUUUCUGACUGCAGGGAAGUGGGGGACACUGCUGGGCAGGAGCACAAGGCUGGCCCCAGGCUGGAGGCAAGGUGGCUGCAGCCAGUCUGGCCUCACAACUGUGAGUAAUAACAGCUAGGAAAGAUGCUCCAGGCUCUCUGCUCAUGGUGCCCCAUCCUAUCCCAGCCACCACAGAGCCCUUUCUGCUCAGGGUCCCUAGUGGUUCCCAGUGACACUCCCUGAAGAGUGAUGCCUUCUACAUCCUCAAACAAGAACAUCUGUUAGGCCAAUGUGCUGGUAAAACAAAGUCCUUUUUAAUUCUAACAACAUCGACAUGCAGUUGGAUUGAUUCGAUGGUCGUAACCGUUUGGAAUGAGGCGUGAGACAAAAUUGUAUGGAUUUGAAAGAGAAUUCAAACGAAUGUAGGAAACCGAAAUGUUAUGACCCACUAAGAAGCAGUAGAAUAAACUGGAA